AUGAUUCAAGUGUACAAUCCGAGUAUUGAAUAUACUCCAGGCAAGGCCAAUGUCAUUGCAGAUGCUUUAAGCAGGAAGGCUUAUUGCAACAGCUUAAUCCUCAAGCCAUUCCAACCGGAUCUUUGUGAAGCUUUCCGCAAGCUGAAUCUCCAAGUUGUUCCUCAAGGCUUUCUUGCCAACCUCAUAGUCUCUCCUACUUUGGAAGAUCAAAUUCGUGAGGCACAACUUCUUGAUGCCAUGGUGAAGAAGGUGAAACGUGGUAUCGACAAGGGUCUUUCCAAAUACAAGUGCUACUGCAUUGAUGACAGAUACACUUUAUUCUUCGAGGACCGGAUUGUGGUUCCUAAAGGUGAUCUAAGGAAAGUCAUAAUGAACGAGGCACACAAUUCUCUUCUUUCCAUUCAUCCUGGAAGUACGAAGAUGUACCAUGACCUCAAGCAGUCGUAUUGGUGGACUCGAAUGAAGCGAGAAAUCGCCCAAUUCGUGAACGAAUGUGAUGUCUGUCGAAGGGUGAAAGCAGAACACCAACGACCAGCUGGUCUCCUCCAACCUCUUGCUAUCCCAGAAUGGAAGUUUGAUCAUAUCGAAAUGGACUUCGUGACUGGUUUUCCAAAGUCCAAGCGUGGAAAUGAUGCUAUCUUCGUUGUCAUUGACAAGCUUACUAAAGUGGCUCAUUUCCUUCCAAUCAAAGAGUCUAUCACAGUAGCUCAGUUGGUAGAGCUAUACACCUCCAGGAUUGUCUCCUUGCACGGCAUUCCACAAUUGAUUUCUUCAGAUCGUGGAAGCAUCUUCACUUCUAAGUUCUAG
This 807-nucleotide ribosomal RNA is filed under the name Triticum aestivum (bread wheat). RNAcentral describes it as "partial small subunit ribosomal RNA". The record is from RNAcentral. Lineage: Eukaryota; Viridiplantae; Streptophyta; Magnoliopsida; Poales; Poaceae.